RNAcentral lists this ribosomal RNA (466 nucleotides) under uncultured bacterium. RNAcentral describes it as "bacterial SSU rRNA". It matches the Rfam family "Bacterial small subunit ribosomal RNA", at positions 338 to 795 of the family's 1533-position model. The record is from RNAcentral.
CCUANGGGAGGCAGCAGUGGGGAAUUGUUCACAAUGGGCGCAAGCCUGAUGACGCAACGCCGCGUGGGGGAUGAAGGUCUUCGGAUCGUAAACCCCUGUCGAAUGGGACGAAUAGCCAUCGGAUUAAUACCCCGGUGGAAUGACGGUACCGUUAAAGGAAGCCACGGCUAACUCUGUGCCAGCAGCCGCGGUAAUACAGAGGUGGCAAGCGUUGUUCGGAAUUACUGGGCGUAAAGGGCGCGUAGGCGGCCCUCUAAGUCAGACGUGAAAUCCCUAGGCUUAACCUAGGAACUGCGUCUGAAACUGGGGGGCUUGAGUUCGGGAGAGGGAUGCAGAAUUCCAGGUGUAGCGGUGAAAUGCGUAGAUAUCUGGAGGAAUACCGGUGGCGAAGGCGGCAUCCUGGACCGAUACUGACGCUGAGGCGCGAAAGCUAGGGUAGCAAACGGGAUUAGAUACCCCUNUANUC